Molecule: ribosomal RNA, 253 nt
Filed under: uncultured bacterium
Lineage: Bacteria
Description: partial 16S ribosomal RNA
Rfam family: Bacterial small subunit ribosomal RNA
Source: RNAcentral
UACGAAGGGUGCAAGCGUUAAUCGGAAUUACUGGGCGUAAAGCGCGCGUAGGCGGUUUGAUAAGUGUGAUGUGAAAGCCCCGGGCUCAACCUGGGAACUGCAUCCCAUACUGUCAGGCUAGAGUACGGUAGAGGGGGGUAGAAUUCCACGUGUAGCGGUGAAAUGCGUAGAGAUGUGGAGGAAUACCAGUGGCGAAGGCGGCCCCCUGGAUCGAUACUGACGCUGAGGUGCGAAAGCGUGGGGAGCAAACAGG